Molecule: ribosomal RNA, 501 nt
Filed under: Megascolecidae sp. SC201722-02
Lineage: Eukaryota; Metazoa; Annelida; Clitellata; Crassiclitellata; Megascolecidae
Description: partial large subunit ribosomal RNA
Rfam family: Bacterial large subunit ribosomal RNA
Source: RNAcentral
AAAACAUUGUCUUAUGAACUAUAUAUUAGAUAAUACCUGCCCAGUGACACUUAACAGUUAAACGGCCGCGGUAUCCUAACCGUGCAAAGGUAGCAUAAUCACUUGCCUAUUAAUUGUAGGCUAGAAUGAACGGGUUAACGAAAUAAAAUCUGUCUCAGUUAAUUCACUAAAAAUUAUUCUCUAUCUGAAGAAAGGUAGAUAGUCUCGAAGGACAAGAAGACCCUAUAGAGCUUAAUAUUAACUAUAAAAUUUUAUUAUAAAUAUAUUCGGUUGGGGCGACCCAGGGAAAAAUAAUCACCCUCUAUAUAAAAGAUAAAUAAAUCAAAUAAUUGACCCUUUAAAGAUUACAAAACAAAGCUACCUUAGGGAUAACAGACUAAUCCCACUCAAGAGUCCUUAUCAACAGUGGGGUUUGGCACCUCGAUGUUGGCUUAGGGUAUCUAUAUAGCGCAAAAGUUGUAUAAAGAUGGUUUGUUCAACCAAUAAUUCCCUACGUGAUCU